AGUCAGGGCUCUGGCUGGGCCAUUCAAGAACAGUCACAGAGUUGUUGUGAAGCCACUCCUUCGUUAUUUUAGCUGUGUGCUUAGGGUCAUUGUCUUGUUGGAAGGUAAACCUUCGGCCCAGUCUGAGGUCCUGAGCACUCUGGAGAAGAUUUUCGUCCAGGAUAUCCCUGUACUUGGCCGCAUUCAUCUUUCCCUCGAUUGCAACCGGUCGUCCUGUCCCUGCAGCUGAAAAACACCCCCACAGCAUGAUGCUGCCACCACCAUGCUUCACUGUUGGGACUGUAUUGGACAGGUGAUGAGCAGUGCCUGGUUUUCUCCACACAUACCGCUUAGAAUUAAGGCCAAAAAGUUCUAUCUUGGUCUCAUCAGACCAGAGAAUCUUAUUUCUCACCAUCUUUAGCAAACUCCAUGCGGGCUUUCAUGUGUCUUGCACUGAGGAGAGGCUUCCGUCGGGCCACUCUGCCAUAAAGACCCGACUGGUGGAGGGCUGCAGUGAUGGUUGACUUUCUACAACUUUCUCCCAUCUCCCGACUGCAUCUCUGGAGCUCAGCCACAGUGAUCUUUGGGUUCUUCUUUACCUCUCUUACCAAGGCUCUUCUCCCCCGAUAGCUCAGUUUGGCCGGACGGCCAGCUCUAGGAAGGGUUCUGGUCGUCCCAAACAUCUUCCAUUUAAGGAUUAUGGAGGCCACUGUGCUCUUAGGAACCUUAAGUGCAGCAGAAAUUUUUUUGUAACCUUGGCCAGAUCUGUGCCUUGCCACAAUUCUGUCUCUGAGCUCUUCAGGCAGUUCCUUUGACCUCAUGAUUCUCAUUUGCUCUGACAUGCACUGUGAGCUGUAAGGUCUUAUAUAGACAGGUGUGUGGCUUUCCUAAUCAAGUCCAAUCAGUAUAAUCAAACACAGCUGGACUCAAAUGAAGGUGUAGAACCAUCUCAAGGAUGAUCAGAAGAAAUGGACAGCACCCGAGUUAAAUAUAUGAGUGUCACAGCAAAGGGUCUGAAUACUUAGGACCAUGUGAUAUUUCAGUUUUUCUUUUUUAAUAAAUCUGC
Molecule: long non-coding RNA, 1045 nt
Organism: Ctenopharyngodon idella (grass carp)
Lineage: Eukaryota; Metazoa; Chordata; Actinopteri; Cypriniformes; Xenocyprididae
Exons: 3
Source: RefSeq, a predicted model, not a curated record